UAUAGGUGAUUGUGAACUACCCAACAUGAG
RNAcentral lists this non-coding RNA (30 nucleotides) under Cricetulus griseus (Chinese hamster). The record is from RNAcentral. Lineage: Eukaryota; Metazoa; Chordata; Mammalia; Rodentia; Cricetidae.